This 1045-nucleotide long non-coding RNA is filed under the name Gallus gallus (chicken). Lineage: Eukaryota; Metazoa; Chordata; Aves; Galliformes; Phasianidae. The record is from RNAcentral.
UGCAGAUCAGCCUCCUCAGCUCGGGCUCUGCAUAGGCAAUCACAGCCCCUGCUCGCAGACCCAACUCUCCCUCUCGCACCGAUUGCAAUGAAUUUUCUGCCUGAAUGUAGGUCGCUGACAGCCGAGAGCACGAGUUUCCUGUACAUCCAGUGCUGUUUUAUUUCCUGUUGAUAUUUUUAAUUUUUCUUCCCCCCCCACCCCCCCUCCCCUCGCCUCCCCCCAAUUCAUGGUCACUGCAUUCCUUUGGAGAAGCGAAUCGCGUUGGAUUCCAAAAAGCAGAGCAGGAUCCUUGUGUGAUAACACCGACUGCAUGACAUCUGAAAGGAUUUCCUGAAGGAAUCUGGCUGUGUGAAAAAGCCCCUCUGCUUCUGCAGCUCUUCCAGCGUUAAGCUUAUCUCUGAAGCCACCCACCUGUUCUGUGGGAUAUUGUAGUUGCUUGUGGCUGAGGAUUCAGUCCUUCACCUCUGACUUCAGAGGAGUGUCAGUCUUUUUCUGCUUUAUUUGAAUAUACUACCACAAGGAGAUCCUUAUGGGACAGGCAGAAAUCAAGACGAGAGGCACAGGUAGGUUCAAAGGUGUAACCAUUUAAAGCAGAAGGAGACGAAGGAGAGGAUCAUGAGAAAACUAGGAUGUUAGGGAGAGAAAGGGAGAAAGAAGCAGCAUGAGUUCUACUGUAUCUUUCUGAUCUGCUUGAAGACAAUAAAUACAGUUGGGAAUAUUAUCAUUUAGGGAGAUUGUGUAGAUGAGAGAUUUCCUGUCUUUUUCUGAUGUGCUACUACUCAUUAAUGUUGAAAAAACAGCUCCCCCCAGGAGGUUUUUCUUGUUGGCUGAUUUUCUCUCUCUGGUCAGAGAGAGAAUUCCUGCACAUUUAAUAAGGUAAAAGAUCCAUUUAAUAACCUUUUCAUUACUUGAUAUUUACAUUUGUUUUAAGUGAAGGCAGUAAUUUACUUAUUGCUUAGAUAUCUGUAAGUCAACACUACCUUAGUAUAUGCAAAAAGUGGGUGGUUUGUUUUGUUGCUGAAAGCCCACAGUGUUUGAAUCGUGG